AAAUAGGCCUAGCCGAAGUGAAAGGAGGAACAAUCUCUGCUUCUGGAAAGAACAUUACAACUGAGAUGGUUUGAAGAGGAAAGGAACCUGUGACUCUCGUUGUCUCCAGGAUUUCACCAUAAAUGGAAGAAAAUGAAAAAUUCACACUCAUGUCUGACAACGGGAGACCUCUAGAGGAGAGAGCUCAGCCCACGGGAAUGGGUCACACAUUGUGAAUUAUCAGGCAUGACUGAAGGAAAAGGACAUCAGGACGUACAGCGAGAGACACCAGGGAGAUGCUUGCACAGAGAAAAAGAUCACUGAGGACACAGUAAGAAGGCAGCCACCUACAAGCCAAGGGGAGAGGCCUCAAGAGAACCCACACCUGCCAACGCCUUGAUCUUGGACAUCCAGGCUCUAAAACUGAAGACUGGCCCUGAGCUAACAUCCAUGCCCAUCUUCCUCUACUUUAUAUGUGGGACACCUACCACAGCAUGGCUUUUGCCAAGUGGUGCCAUGUCCACACCCGGGAUCCGAACCGGUGAACCCCAGGCUGCUGAGAAGUGGAAUGUGUGAACUUAACCUCUGCACCACCAGGCCAGCCCCUAUAGUAUCUAAAUUCUAAACAAAUGCUCUAAAGUGAGAAUUUUUUUAUUAAAACUUUAAGUGAAAUCUGCUA
Molecule: long non-coding RNA, 658 nt
Filed under: Equus asinus (donkey)
Lineage: Eukaryota; Metazoa; Chordata; Mammalia; Perissodactyla; Equidae
Description: lncRNA (ENSEASG00005026356.1)
Source: RNAcentral